GAGGGUAGAGCUCAGUGGUAGAGCACGUGCUUAGCAUGCACGAGGUCCUGUGUUCAAUCCCCAGUCCCUCCA
RNAcentral lists this transfer RNA (72 nucleotides) under Camelus bactrianus (Bactrian camel). It matches the Rfam family "tRNA". Rfam says of the family: Transfer RNA (tRNA) molecules are approximately 80 nucleotides in length. Their secondary structure includes four short double-helical elements and three loops (D, anti-codon, and T loops). Further hydrogen bonds mediate the characteristic L-shaped molecular structure. tRNAs have two regions of fundamental functional importance: the anti-codon, which is responsible for specific mRNA codon recognition, and the 3' end, to which the tRNAs corresponding amino acid is attached (by aminoacyl-tRNA synthetases). tRNAs cope with the degeneracy of the genetic code in two manners: having more than one tRNA (with a specific anti-codon) for a particular amino acid; and 'wobble' base-pairing, i.e. permitting non-standard base-pairing at the 3rd anti-codon position. RNAcentral also lists the same sequence under 2 other names. The record is from Rfam by way of RNAcentral. Lineage: Eukaryota; Metazoa; Chordata; Mammalia; Artiodactyla; Camelidae.